Small nucleolar RNA from Humulus lupulus (European hop), 89 nucleotides. RefSeq annotates it as small nucleolar RNA snoR114. NCBI's taxonomy places the organism in Eukaryota, Viridiplantae, Streptophyta, Magnoliopsida, Rosales, Cannabaceae. The transcript has a single exon. The record is from RefSeq and is a predicted model, not a curated record.
UAGAUAUGAGGAUUUCUGCGCUAAUGUGAAGGAGGGGUCCAUCACUGUCAUCUGAAUUAUACGAUGAAUGUAUAUGCGUUUCUGAGCUU